ACUGCAUUGCAGCCAGCAGCCAACAACUUGCUCUACUCUAUACAGCACUAUACACCCUAGCUCUUGGUGGCGGUGGAAUCAAGUCGAACGUUUCCGGGUUUGGGUCGGACCAAUUUGACCCAUCAGAUCCUAAGGAAAACAAAUCCAUGAUAUACUUCUUCAACAGGUUCUAUUUCUGCAUAAGCCUGGGUUCUUUGUUUGCAGUGACUGUACUGGUGUAUUUACAAGACAAUGUAGGAAGAGGAUGGGGAUACGGGAUAUCAGCAGGCACGAUGGUCCUGGGCGUGGCUGUAUUGAUUGGUGGAACGACAUUUUAUAGAUUCAAGAAGCCUCAAGGAAGUCCUUUGACUAUCAUAUGGAGAGUUUUGUUCUUGGCUUGGAGGAAGAGAAAGCUUUCCUACCCUUCUGAUCCUGCAUUCUUGAAUGAAUAUCACAAUGCAAAAGUACCACAUACACAUAUGCUCAGGUAAGCAUGAUAUUAAAAGUAAAAGUAACAGCCUAGAGAUGCUUAUCGAACUAAUUUCAAUCACCUAAAUAAGUCUAUUACUCCUAAUCCUAUCUAUUAUCCAUGUAAAACACUGAUAAUUAUGGGAGGGCAUUACUUAACUGAUUAUCUUAUCGAAAACCAAUGGGAGGAUCGCUACUUGCUAGGCAGAUCUGAUCAUACCCAACAGAAUGCACAAAAUAGACAAUUGGCAUCAGAAGUAUGGAAUCUUUAACCUACAUAUAUUCAGAGGCAAUUGCAUCAGUAUGUAGUCAGUGAAAUUUUAACAUGUAAGGCCAGAAUUAAUUACCUGAAUGUAGUUGUUUUAUGGCAAAUUAAGAAUCAUCAUGUAAAAUAAGUAGUAAAAAACAAAUAUUUGAUGUAAAUAGAAGCUAACCAGUACUAGUACUUGUUAACAAACAGGUGUCUUGACAAGGCAGCCAUUAUUGAUGACAGUGCCACGGCAAAUGAAAAUAGCAAGAACCGUUGGAUAGUUUCAACAGUUACAGAAGUUGAAGAAGUGAAAAUGGUGCUUAAACUGAUUCCCAUAUGGUCCACAUGCAUACUUUUUUGGACAGUAUACUCUCA
RNAcentral lists this long non-coding RNA (1072 nucleotides) under Nicotiana tabacum (common tobacco). Its description in RNAcentral is "long non-coding RNA (NTAB_LNC018796)". The record is from RNAcentral. Lineage: Eukaryota; Viridiplantae; Streptophyta; Magnoliopsida; Solanales; Solanaceae.